RNAcentral lists this transfer RNA (85 nucleotides) under Brachybacterium kimchii. RNAcentral's name for it is "Brachybacterium sp. CBA3104 tRNA-Ser". The record is from RNAcentral. Lineage: Bacteria; Bacillati; Actinomycetota; Actinomycetes; Micrococcales; Dermabacteraceae.
GGAAGGCAUCCGAUCGGUCAGGAGCCCCGCUGGAAUCGGGGUGCGGGGCGAGAGCCCUCGGUGGGUUCGACUCCCACGUCUUCCG